RNAcentral lists this ribosomal RNA (276 nucleotides) under Triticum aestivum (bread wheat). RNAcentral describes it as "partial small subunit ribosomal RNA". The record is from RNAcentral. Lineage: Eukaryota; Viridiplantae; Streptophyta; Magnoliopsida; Poales; Poaceae.
AUGUGGAAUGAUGAUCUGCAAGUUCAUGUUCAUAGUGCUAGCUUCCAUGUUAUCUUAGCUAUUGCUGUACAUAGUACUAGCAAUCUGAAGUUUGGCUUCGUGUGUAUCUAUGGUGAUCCGUAUCAUCGUCAAACUUUUCAAAUCUGGAGUAAGGUGGCUGCUUUUGCGUAUAAUAACUCGAGUUUACCCAUGCUAUGUAUAGGGGAUAUGAAUGAGCUUUUGUAUGAUAUGGACACAAACUCCCCUAAUAUAAAUCGCUCUCGCAUGUAUGGUUUU